GAUGAACGCUGGCGGCGUGCUUAAUACAUGCAAGUCGAACGGAGACGUUAUAGCAAUACGAUGUUCUUAGUGGCGAACGGGUGAGUAACGCGUUGGUGACCUGCCCCGAAGCGGGGGAUAACAGUCCGAAAGGACUGCUAAUACCCCAUGUGGUCUCAGGGAUUAGAUGCCCUGAGUCUAAAGGAGUAAUCCACUUUGGGAGGGACCUGCGUCCCAUCAGCUAGUUGGUAAGGUAACGGCCUACCAAGGCUUCGACGGGUAGGGGACCUGAGAGGGUGGCCCCCCACAAUGGAACUGAAACACGGUCCAUACACCUACGGGAGGCUG
This 327-nucleotide ribosomal RNA is filed under the name uncultured Chloroflexota bacterium. RNAcentral's name for it is "bacterial SSU rRNA". It matches the Rfam family "Bacterial small subunit ribosomal RNA", at positions 28 to 351 of the family's 1533-position model. The record is from RNAcentral. Lineage: Bacteria; Bacillati; Chloroflexota.